RNAcentral lists this ribosomal RNA (399 nucleotides) under uncultured Desulfomicrobium sp. Its description in RNAcentral is "bacterial SSU rRNA". It matches the Rfam family "Bacterial small subunit ribosomal RNA", at positions 505 to 905 of the family's 1533-position model. The record is from RNAcentral. Lineage: Bacteria; Pseudomonadati; Thermodesulfobacteriota; Desulfovibrionia; Desulfovibrionales; Desulfomicrobiaceae.
GUGCCAGCAGCCGCGGUAAUACGGAGGGUGCAAGCGUUAUUCGGAAUUACUGGGCGUAAAGCGCACGUAGGCGGCUUCGUAAGUCAGGGGUGAAAUCCCACGGCUCAACCGUGGAACUGCCUUUGAAACUGCAAAGCUUGAAUCCUGGAGAGGGUGGCGGAAUUCCUGGUGUAGGAGUGAAAUCCGUAGAUAUCAGGAGGAACACCGGUGGCGAAGGCGGCCACCUGGACAGGCAUUGACGCUGAGGUGCGAAAGUGUGGGGAGCAAACAGGAUUAGAUACCCUGGUAGUCCACACCGUAAACGAUGGAUACUAGGUGUCGGGGACUUGAUCUUCGGUGCCGUAGCUAACGCGUUAAGUAUCCCGCCUGGGGAGUACGGUCGCAAGGCUGAAACUCAAA